GUCCUUCCUGAAGAAAGGAAAUGUGGAAAGGAAAAACUGGUACCAGCCACUGCAAAUCAACCUACACCAAUCAAUAAACAUAAUCCACCACGGAAACAGAACCAAUGACAAAAAACACAUGAUUAUCUCAAUAGACGUAGAAAAGACCUUUGACAAAAUUCAACACCCCUUCAUGCCAAAAACUCUCAAUAAACUAGGUAUCAAUGGAAAGUAUCUCAAAAUAAUAAGAGCUAUUUAUGACAAACCCUCAGCCAAUAUCAUAUUGAAUGGGCAAAAGCUGGAAGCAUUUCCUUUGAAAACCAGCAAAAGACAAGGAUGCCCUCUCUCACCACUCCUAUUCAACAUUGUAUUGGAAGUUCUGGCCAGGGCAAUCAGGCAAGCAAAAGAAAUAAAAGGGAUUUAAAUAGGAAGAGAAGAAGCCAAUUUGUCUCUGUUUUCAGAUAACAUGACUGUAUAUUUAGAAAACCCCAUCAUCUCAGCUCAAAAUCUCCUUAAGCUGACAAGCAACUUCAGCAAAGUCUGAGGAUACAAAAUCAAUGUGCAAAAAUCACAAGCAGAAUGAGGUUCUUUUUUCCAGCAUGCCAUUUAUUCUAGUUGAGUUUUUGACAGUGUAAAUGAAUUAUUUUCCCAUUAAUAAAAAGUUGGUUAAUAAUAAAACAUGUAUUUAAUUACUUUAGUUGAGAUAUUGAAUAUUUUCUACUUCAUCAGAAAUUUACAUUAGUCUAAUUAUUUUUAAUUAUUUUUAGGUAGCACCACUAAUACAAUGGGAUUUCAUAACAAAUAUUACCCUUUGUUUUGUCACUUUGUAAACCUGUAGAUAUUUUACUUAAAAAUAUUUAC
This 840-nucleotide long non-coding RNA is filed under the name Pan troglodytes (chimpanzee). Its description in RNAcentral is "long non-coding RNA NONPTRT014690". Lineage: Eukaryota; Metazoa; Chordata; Mammalia; Primates; Hominidae. The record is from RNAcentral.